RNAcentral lists this long non-coding RNA (516 nucleotides) under Oryzias javanicus (javanese ricefish). RNAcentral's name for it is "lncRNA (ENSOJAG00000007486.1)". The record is from RNAcentral. Lineage: Eukaryota; Metazoa; Chordata; Actinopteri; Beloniformes; Adrianichthyidae.
UUUACUUUACUCCGAUCUCAUUCAGCCAAUGUCAGAUGUUCUUCUUUUUCAUGCCUUAUAUUCACAAAUAAUCUCGUGUGUUUGUCCUCAGCUAUUCCUCAAAAGUCCUGUAUGCAAACAGUGGAGGUGGAACGGAUCCACCCACGGAGGAGAUGGUGCAGAGUUUUGAUUCUGUGAAUGGAGAGAUGCAGGCGGAUGCAGAAAGCAGAGAACUGGAGGUGGUUGAUGGCAAAACAGCUGCAGAUACCAUCCUCUACCACAAGGGGUCAGCAGAGAAAAACAAGUCCAAUACGUUCAAAACUCAGAGGAAAACUAAGCAGAAAGUUGUUUCUGACUUUGGAACGGCGAGCAGGGGAACUUCAUCUGGAACCAAGACCAGAACAUCUCUGCAGGGUCUGUUCAACCCGGGAGGACCUGACAAAACCUCUGAGGUAUCGUGUUGUUUCUGGCUCAUCAAACCGCAUUUUCAUCAUCUGUGAAUCAGAUAUGAACGCCGUCCAAUCUCUAAAUCAGUGA